This 475-nucleotide ribosomal RNA is filed under the name uncultured bacterium. RNAcentral's name for it is "bacterial SSU rRNA". It matches the Rfam family "Bacterial small subunit ribosomal RNA", at positions 25 to 518 of the family's 1533-position model. The record is from RNAcentral.
CAGGACGAACGCUGGCGGCGUGCCUAACACAUGCAAGUCGAGCGAGGAGAUCCUUCGGGAUGAUCCGUAGCGGCGGACGGGUGAGUAACACGUGGGCAACCUGCCUCAUAGAGAGGAAUAGCCUUCCGAAAGGGAGAUUAAUACCUCAUAACAUUGCAGUUUCGCAUGGAACAGCAAUUAAAGGAGCAAUCCGCUAUGAGAUGGGCCCGCGGCGCAUUAGCUAGUUGGUGAGGUAACGGCUCACCAAGGCGACGAUGCGUAGCCGACCUGAGAGGUGAUCGGCCACAUUGGGACUGAGACACGGCCCAGACUCCUACGGGAGGCAGCAGUGGGAAUAUUGCACAAUGGGGGAAACCCUGAUGCAAGCAACGCCGCGUGAGUGAUGACGGCCUUCGGGUUGUAAAGCUCUGUCUUCAGGGACGAUAAUGACGGUACCUGAGGAGGAAGCCACGGCUAACUACGUGCCAGCCGCUGC